GGCGACCGGCGCACGGGUGAGUAACGCGUAUGUAACCUGCCCGCAACAGUGGAAUAACCCGGCGAAAGUCGGACUAAUACCGCAUAAAACAGGGGUCCCGCAUGGGAAUAUUUGUUAAAGAUUUAUCGGUUGCGGAUGGGCAUGCGUACCAUUAGGUAGUUGGUGAGGUAACGGCUCACCAAGCCUUCGAUGGUUAGGGGUUCUGAGAGGAAGGUCCCCCACACUGGUACUGAGACACGGACCAGACUCC
This 250-nucleotide ribosomal RNA is filed under the name uncultured Tannerella sp. RNAcentral's name for it is "partial 16S ribosomal RNA". It matches the Rfam family "Bacterial small subunit ribosomal RNA", at positions 90 to 339 of the family's 1533-position model. Lineage: Bacteria; Pseudomonadati; Bacteroidota; Bacteroidia; Bacteroidales; Tannerellaceae. The record is from RNAcentral.